This 428-nucleotide ribosomal RNA is filed under the name uncultured bacterium. RNAcentral describes it as "partial 16S ribosomal RNA". It matches the Rfam family "Bacterial small subunit ribosomal RNA", at positions 354 to 796 of the family's 1533-position model. The record is from RNAcentral.
GUAGGGAAUAUUGCGCAAUGGGGGAAACCCUGACGCAGCGACGCCGCGUGAGUGAUGAAGGCCUUCGGGUCGUAAAGCUCUGUUGCAGGGGAAUAAAAAAAUGAAGGUACCCUGUGAGGAAGGAUCGGCUAACUUCGUGCCAGCAGCCGCGGUAAGACGAGGGAUCCUAGCGUUGCUCGGAAUCAUUGGGCGUAAAGAGGGCGUAGGUGGCUUGGUAAGUCAGGUGUGAAAGCCCAGGGCUCAACCCUGGAAGUGCAUUUGAUACUGCUGAGCUGGAGUGUCGGAGAGGUUACCGGAAUACCUGGUGUAGUGGUGAAAUACGUAGAUAUCAGGUGGAACACCGGAGGCGAAGGCGGGUAACUGGACGAACACUGACACUGAGGCCCGAAAGCGUGGGGAUCAAACAGGAUUAGAAACCCGUGUAGUCC